Molecule: ribosomal RNA, 424 nt
Filed under: uncultured bacterium
Lineage: Bacteria
Description: bacterial SSU rRNA
Rfam family: Bacterial small subunit ribosomal RNA
Source: RNAcentral
UGAGGAAUAUUGGUCAAUGGGCGAGAGCCUGAACCAGCCAUCCCGCGUGGAGGAAGACGGCGCUAAGCGUUGUAAACUUCUUUUCAAGGGGAAGAAUUGUCCCGACGCGUCGGGUCUUGCCGGUACCCUUGGAACAAGCAUCGGCUAACUCCGUGCCAGCAGCCGCGGUAAUACGGAGGAUGCGAGCGUUAUCCGGAUUUAUUGGGUUUAAAGGGUGCGUAGGCGGGUCGAUAAGUCAGCGGUGAAAACCCAUGGCUCAACCAUGGAAUUGCCGUUGAAACUGUCGGUCUUGAAUAUGGUCAGGGUAGGCGGAAUGCGUAAUGUAGCGGUGAAAUGCUUAGAUAUUACGCAGAACACCGAUCGCGAAGGCAGCUUGCUGGGCCAGUAUUGACGCUGAGGCACGAAAGCGUGGGUAGCGAACAGG